UGGGGAAUAUUGGACAAUGGGCGGAAGCCUGAUCCAGCCAUGCCGCGUGUGUGAAGAAGGCCUUUUGGUUGUAAAGCACUUUAAGCGAGGAGGAGGCUACCUAGAUUAAUACUCUGGGAUAGUGGACGUUACUCGCAGAAUAAGCACCGGCUAACUCUGUGCCAGCAGCCGCGGUAAUACAGAGGGUGCGAGCGUUAAUCGGAUUUACUGGGCGUAAAGCGUGCGUAGGCGGCUGAUUAAGUCGGAUGUGAAAUCCCUGAGCUUAACUUAGGAAUUGCAUUCGAUACUGGUCAGCUAGAGUAUGGGAGAGGAUGGUAGAAUUCCAGGUGUAGCGGUGAAAUGCGUAGAGAUCUGGAGGAAUACCGAUGGCGAAGGCAGCCAUCUGGCCUAAUACUGACGCUGAGGUACGAAAGCAUGGGGAGCAAACAGG
This 430-nucleotide ribosomal RNA is filed under the name uncultured bacterium. Its description in RNAcentral is "bacterial SSU rRNA". It matches the Rfam family "Bacterial small subunit ribosomal RNA", at positions 355 to 776 of the family's 1533-position model. The record is from RNAcentral.